AUUGAACGCUGGCGGCAUGCCUUACACAUGCAAGUCGAACGGUAACGCGGGGCAACCUGGCGACGAGUGGCGAACGGGUGAGUAAUACAUCGGAACGUGCCCAGUAGUGGGGGAUAGCCCGCGAAGCCGGAUUAAUACGCAUACGACCUAUGGGUGAAAGCGGGGAUCGCAAGACCUCGCGCUAUUGGAGCGGCCGAUGUCGAGGUUAGGUAGUUGGUGGGGUAAAAGCCUACCAAGCCGACGAUCUGUAGCUGGUCUGAGAGGACGACCAGCCACACUGGGACUGAGACACGGCCCAGACUCCUACGGGAGGCAGCAGUGGGAAUUUUGGACAAUGGCGCAAGCCUGAUCCAGCCAUGCCGCGUGC
Molecule: ribosomal RNA, 367 nt
Filed under: uncultured bacterium
Lineage: Bacteria
Description: bacterial SSU rRNA
Rfam family: Bacterial small subunit ribosomal RNA
Source: RNAcentral